Molecule: long non-coding RNA, 1227 nt
Organism: Pseudopipra pipra
Lineage: Eukaryota; Metazoa; Chordata; Aves; Passeriformes; Pipridae
Exons: 3
Source: RefSeq, a predicted model, not a curated record
GUUAACAAACACAGUAAAACAAUGAAAUUGAGUUACAUGCUGUAAUUAAAUUCACAAUGCACAACAACCUGUAACCUUGUUCUUAUUAACCCACUGAGCCAGCGAUGAAGUUUUUAACAGCUUAACAUUAAAUGCAUAGGGCACGCAAUGCUCAAAGCUAAAACCAUUAUAAUAACUAAUAUUUAGAGUAUUACAUUAACAAUAGAAAAAUGGCCUAGGAACGUGAAAGGAAAAAAGGAUUUAAGCCUAACCAAGUUAUCUAACAUUAACUGAACGUCAUUUAAAAGGACAACUGGUUUUUGAUGCACCUAUGAAUAAGCCAGGAAAAAAUGUUUGCUAACUCUCGGUACCUUCUGCCCUCUGCUCCCUGCAUACAGAAGGUAGAUUCAAUAUAUUCUGGCUACAUGAGAUCUCCACCCAAGAAGGGUUUGAAUAAGAAAAGCCAUAAGGGUGCAUCUGACACGGUGUCAAAAACAGAACGUUUUUACAGCAUUGCCUCACACAGAUACAUGCCACUACUACAAAGGUGGAAUCUAAUAAGUUCAUUAACCCUAACCAGGGAGAAUGUGUUACUUCAUAUAUGAACUGGGUUAUCCAUUACUGUUAAAUGUUUAAGAACCAAAAUUAUCAGCAAAAUACAUAAUGUAAAAUUUGAGCAGAGUUCUUUUUUAUUAGCUUCAUCUAAUUUAAAAUAAAAGCCCCACAUCUUUAAUUUCCAGGAAGAUCUUAAUAUACUGAAGAAUUAUUUCAAAUAUUUGCUAGCCAGUGGAGGGAAAAAAAAAAGUCAUGAUAUACACAAGACUAAAAUGAGGACAGAAAGAUAUGUUUUCAAUAAGCUUAUCCAAAUUUGUCUUCCCAUUUGUUUUUAACUGUAUGGAUGUGAGGCCAUAAAGCAAUAUAAAAUUGAGCCAGCAAUAUAAAAUUGAGCCAUCUUGUAGGUUUACAAAGUUGACCUGCUACCCACAAUCACUGCACUAAUACACUGCAAAGUGAAAUACAUUCACACGAUUAUUUGCAGAACUAUCUGCAGCUAAAAUAUCCAGCUACAAAAAAUAUCACACUACGACGUCUAUGAAGAAGGGGUGAAGAACCGUGUAUACCGCCACUGAAAUUUUUUCAUUUAACCUCACAGAAAGGAGCAUUACAUCACACUCUUACAAUGCAGGAGGAGGGGCCUGUUCUCAGAAAGCAAGCUCCAGCUAUUUCCCUUUAAUUUUCUGCUUGGUU